RNAcentral lists this long non-coding RNA (581 nucleotides) under Ananas comosus (pineapple). RNAcentral's name for it is "long non-coding RNA (ACOM_LNC034257)". Lineage: Eukaryota; Viridiplantae; Streptophyta; Magnoliopsida; Poales; Bromeliaceae. The record is from RNAcentral.
AGAAAUGAGGAUUGGGGCUACGAUGCGAGUGAGAGACGCUGUGCGUAGUACGAUAGGUUUAGGCGAUAUGCCGACGUAGCAUUAUGACCGCUGGUCCACCCGUGAAAGCCGACGUAAUCGGUUUAGCCGAUAACUCCGUGGAGGAGUUGGUGCGAGGAGAUGAAUUCUCGGAAUGUGAGUAUUGGAGUUCGCUCAAGAUCGACUAAUUGUCGAGUGGGUGUGCUUCGGAAAUGCUGAAGAGGUCAAAUGCACCAAAAGUGCAUUGCAAUGGAUCGGCGAGAGCAAGUGUGCGAAAAAUCUGCACUUGGCAGAUUUGCUCUCGGGGACCGGUCCCUGGCAGGGAAGGACCGGUCCCCCGUAGCUGGUGGCUGCGGGGUUGCGUGAUGCAACCGGUCCCUGGGCCAGAGGGACCGGUCCCCGUACGCGUAACCAGCGAGAAGAGGAUAUUGGCUAAGUCCUGCGAGAGCAAGCUCUCGGGGACCGGUCUCUGGUAACAGACCGAUCUCCGGGGGACCGGUCCUCUAAGGGCAGACCGGUUCCCGUAGGUGUGUUUAGGCUGAAGGCUCUCGGGGACCGGUCCC